This 90-nucleotide transfer RNA is filed under the name Caulerpa sertularioides f. longipes. Its description in RNAcentral is "tRNA-Pro". Lineage: Eukaryota; Viridiplantae; Chlorophyta; Ulvophyceae; Bryopsidales; Caulerpaceae. The record is from RNAcentral.
CAAGACAAAAGGUCUGAGGGGGCCGCGAGAUUAGGGAGCUUGACGAGUUUUUCCUAUAAGAAAUCCGUGGUUCCACUUAGUGUGUUUUGC